AGCAGCCCACAGAAGCCGAGUUCGCGCCGCCGGUAGGUGCUGCCAUGCCAGGGGGCGGGAUCGUGGAGCGCCUCGUAGAACCGCACGAAAGCAAAAACAAAGCCAUCUCUCCGAAGCAGAAAUAGAACAGACGUGGCCGGGGAAAGCCAAAUAUUUGUGGCUGGACUCAGACACAUCACGCUCCAGUUUGGGUUCCAAGGUGCUUCUCUCUGGAUUUUCACCUGCCUUGCCAAAAAUGAUUGAUUACGCUGGGCCAACUGGGUGUCCGGCGAUACCCAACAAAUGACUUUGGCCCCUAACCGCAGGCCUUGGCCAGAUAGAAAUCAAUAUUUCACCAUUAAAAUCUAUCAAAGAAGAGUUAAGGCACCAUCUGUCCCUGCCGCCUCUCUAUGGUGUGUGAACAUUAAAUCCGACACUUGUACUACAUGGGUAAUCAAUAUAUAGUGGUUCACAGAUCA
Molecule: long non-coding RNA, 458 nt
Filed under: Pan troglodytes (chimpanzee)
Lineage: Eukaryota; Metazoa; Chordata; Mammalia; Primates; Hominidae
Description: lincRNA
Source: RNAcentral